This 796-nucleotide long non-coding RNA is filed under the name Physcomitrium patens. RNAcentral describes it as "long non-coding RNA (PPAT_LNC006341)". Lineage: Eukaryota; Viridiplantae; Streptophyta; Bryopsida; Funariales; Funariaceae. The record is from RNAcentral.
UCCUGCAAGUAAAUUGUGACGAGCUUUAAGAGCAUAUUGUCGUAAUACGUGAAGUCUUGCUUGAGAAUGCUUUGAGCACCUAGCUGUGGAAGGAAGAAUGGAAAUUGCAAUAACAAAAUCCUAAUUCUAAUAGAAUACUAACAAUGCUCUUAUUAGACUAUAAUAAUGCUAAUCAAGCUUAAUCAAAUUCAAAACAAACUCAAAGAAAUUUCAAACAAACAAUAAAUUUUUUUAAAGAAAUAUUAAAAGGAUCACAAAUAUCACUCAAAUACAUCUCAUUUCAAUCAUAAUUUAAUUUUAGUUAAAAUCCUAUUGAACUUCAUUCAAACUUUAGGCCAAAACUAAUUGAAUCUUAAAUCCUAAUAAAAUCCUAAACCCUAAAUAAAACCCUAAAAAAACCUUAAACCAAAUCCUAACCAAAUCCUAAACCAAACCCUAAACCCUAAAUUAAACCCUAACCAAAUCCUAAUCCAAAUCCUAAAUCCUAAAUCAAAUCCUAACCAAAUCCUAAACCAAACCUUAAAUCCUAAACCAAAUCCUAACCAAAUCCUAAAUCCUAAAUGAUCCUAAAUUCCAAAUCCUAAAUCAAACCCUAAACCCUAAAUCAAAUCCUAAUCCAAACCCUAAUCUGUAAAUAAAUCCUAAAUAAAUCCUAAACCAAAUCCUAAACCUUAAAUAAAUCCUAAAUCAAACUCUAAAUCCUAAACCAAAUCCUAAACCUUAAAUAAAUCCUAAAUCAAACUCUAAAUCCUAGAUAAAUCCUAAAUCAAAUCCUAAAUCCUAAAUCAAACCCUAA